RNAcentral lists this ribosomal RNA (253 nucleotides) under uncultured bacterium. RNAcentral's name for it is "partial 16S ribosomal RNA". It matches the Rfam family "Bacterial small subunit ribosomal RNA", at positions 524 to 776 of the family's 1533-position model. The record is from RNAcentral.
UACGUAGGGGGCAAGCGUUGUCCGGAUUUAUUGGGCGUAAAGAGCGUGUAGGCGGCUUUACAGGUCCGUUGUGAAAACUCGAGGCUCAACCUCGAGACGCCGGUGGAAACCGUAAGGCUAGAGUCCGGAAGAGGAGAGUGGAAUUCCUGGUGUAGCGGUGAAAUGCGCAGAUAUCGGGAAGAACACCCGUGGCGAAGGCGGUUCUCUGGGACGGUACUGACGCUGAGACGCGAAAGCGUGGGGAGCGAACAGG